AAUGGGGGAUAACGUAGCGAAAGUUACGCUAAUACCGCAUAUGCCCUGAGGGGGAAAGGUGGGGAUCGCAAGACCUAUCGUUUUCGGAGUGGCCGAUAUCAGAUUAGCUAGUUGGUGGGGUAAAGGCCCACCAAGGCGACGAUCUGUAGCGGGUCUGAGAGGAUGAUCCGCCACACUGGGACUGAGACACGGCCCAGACUCCUACGGGAGGCAGCAGUGGGGAAUUUUGGACAAUGGGGGCAACCCUGAUCCAGCCAUGCCGCGUGAGUGAAGAAGGCCUUCGGGUUGUAAAGCUCUUUCAGCCGGAAAGAAAUCGCGCAGGCUAAUAUCCUGCGUGGAUGACGGUACCGGAAGAAGAAGCACCGGCUAACUACGUGCCAGCAGCCGCGGUAAUACGUAGGGUGCGAGCGUUAAUCGGAAUUACUGGGCGUAAAGCGUGCGCAGGCGGUUUUGUAAGACAGGCGUGAAAUCCCCGGGCUUAACCUGGGAACUGCGUUUGUGACUGCAAGGCUAGAGUGUGGCAGAGGGGGGUAGAAUUCCG
RNAcentral lists this ribosomal RNA (541 nucleotides) under uncultured Gallionellaceae bacterium. RNAcentral describes it as "bacterial SSU rRNA". It matches the Rfam family "Bacterial small subunit ribosomal RNA", at positions 135 to 671 of the family's 1533-position model. Lineage: Bacteria; Pseudomonadati; Pseudomonadota; Betaproteobacteria; Nitrosomonadales; Gallionellaceae. The record is from RNAcentral.